UACGUAGGUGGCAAGCGUUGUCCGGAUUUAUUGGGCGUAAAGCGAGCGCAGGCGGUUUCUUAAGUCUGAUGUGAAAGCCCCCGGCUCAACCGGGGAGGGUCAUUGGAAACUGGGAGACUUGAGUGCAGAAGAGGAGAGUGGAAUUCCAUGUGUAGCGGUGAAAUGCGUAGAUAUAUGGAGGAACACCAGUGGCGAAGGCGGCUCUCUNGGUCUGUAACUGACGCUGAGGCUCGAAAGCGUGGGGAGCAAACAGGAUUAGAUACC
Molecule: ribosomal RNA, 264 nt
Filed under: uncultured Enterococcaceae bacterium
Lineage: Bacteria; Bacillati; Bacillota; Bacilli; Lactobacillales; Enterococcaceae
Description: partial 16S ribosomal RNA
Rfam family: Bacterial small subunit ribosomal RNA
Source: RNAcentral